CCUACGGGUGGCAUCAGUGGGGAAUAUUGGACAAUGGGCGAAAGCCUGAUCCAGCCAUGCCGCGUGUGUGAAGAAGGCCUUCGGGUUGUAAAGCACUUUCAGUGGGGAAGAAAGCCUUGGGGCUAAUACCCUCGAGGAAGGACAUCACCCACAGAAGAAGCACCGGCUAACUCCGUGCCAGCAGCCGCGGUAAUACGGAGGGUGCGAGCGUUAAUCGGAAUUACUGGGCGUAAAGCGCGCGUAGGCGGUCUGAUAAGCCGGUUGUGAAAGCCCCGGGCUCAACCUGGGAACGGCAUCCGGAACUGUCAGGCUAGAGUGCAGGAGAGGAAGGUAGAAUUCCCGGUGUAGCAGUGAAAUGCGUAGAGAUCGGGAGGAAUACCAGUGGCGAAGGCGGCCUUCUGGACUGACACUGACGCUGAGGUGCGAAAGCGUGGGUAGCAAACAGGAUUAGAUACCCUAGUAGUC
Molecule: ribosomal RNA, 465 nt
Filed under: Vreelandella stevensii
Lineage: Bacteria; Pseudomonadati; Pseudomonadota; Gammaproteobacteria; Oceanospirillales; Halomonadaceae
Description: partial 16S ribosomal RNA
Rfam family: Bacterial small subunit ribosomal RNA
Source: RNAcentral